This 71-nucleotide transfer RNA is filed under the name Loxodonta africana (African savanna elephant). It matches the Rfam family "tRNA". Rfam says of the family: Transfer RNA (tRNA) molecules are approximately 80 nucleotides in length. Their secondary structure includes four short double-helical elements and three loops (D, anti-codon, and T loops). The record is from Rfam by way of RNAcentral. Lineage: Eukaryota; Metazoa; Chordata; Mammalia; Proboscidea; Elephantidae.
GCAGUGGUGGUUCAGUGGUAGAACUCUUGACUCCCACAUGGGAGACCUGGGUUCGAUUCCGAGCCAAUGCA